RNAcentral lists this ribosomal RNA (440 nucleotides) under uncultured bacterium. RNAcentral's name for it is "partial 16S ribosomal RNA". It matches the Rfam family "Bacterial small subunit ribosomal RNA", at positions 338 to 795 of the family's 1533-position model. The record is from RNAcentral.
CCUACGGGGUGCAGCAGUGGGGAAUAUUGCACAAUGGGGGAAACCCUGAUGCAGCGACGCCGCGUGAGUGAAGAAGUAAUUCGUUAUGUAAAGCUCUAUCAGCAGGGAAGAAAAUGACGGUACCUGAGUAAGAAGCCCCGGCUAACUACGUGCCAGCAGCCGCGGUAAUACGUAGGGGGCAAGCGUUAUCCGGAUUUACUGGGUGUAAAGGGAGCGUAGACGGCAGUGCAAGUCUGGAGUGAAAGGCGGGGGCUCAACCCCCGGAGUGCUCUGGAAACUGUACGGCGGGAGUGCAGGAGGGGUAAGUGGAAUGCGGGGUGUAGCGGUUAAAGGCGUAGAGAUGAGGAAGAACACCAGUGGAGAAGGCGGCAGACUGGAGUGUAAAUGACGUGGAGGAUCGAAAGCGUGGGGAGCAAACAGGAUUAGAUACCCGAGUAGUC